CCUACGGGAGGCAGCAGUGGGGAAUAUUGGACAAUGGGCGCAAGCCUGAUCCAGCCAUGCCGCGUGUGUGAAGAAGGCUUUCGGGUUGUAAAGCACUUUCAGUGGGGAAGAAGGCCUGUCGGCUAAUACCCGGCAGGGACGACAUCACCCACAGAAGAAGCACCGGCUAACUCCGUGCCAGCAGCCGCGGUAAUACGGAGGGUGCAAGCGUUAAUCGGAAUUACUGGGCGUAAAGCGCGCGUAGGUGGCUUGAUAAGCCGGUUGUGAAAGCCCCGGGCUCAACCUGGGAACGGCAUCCGGAACUGUCGGGCUAGAGUGCAGGAGAGGAAGGUGGAAUUCCCGGUGUAGCGGUGAAAUGCGUAGAGAUCGGGAGGAAUACCAGUGGCGAAGGCGGCCUUCUGGACUGACACUGACACUGAGGUGCGAAAGCGUGGGUAGCAAACAGGAUUAGAUACCCCGGUAGUCCACGCCGUAAACGAUGUCGACUAGCCGUUGGGUUCCUUGAGAACUUAGUGGCGCAGUUAACGCGAUAAGUCGACCGCCUGGGGAGUACGGCCGCAAGGUUAAAACUCAAAUGAAUUGACGGGGGCCCGCACAAGCGGUGGAGCAUGUGGUUUAAUUCGAUGCAACGCGAAGAACCUUAC
RNAcentral lists this ribosomal RNA (644 nucleotides) under uncultured Halomonas sp. Its description in RNAcentral is "bacterial SSU rRNA". It matches the Rfam family "Bacterial small subunit ribosomal RNA", at positions 338 to 974 of the family's 1533-position model. Lineage: Bacteria; Pseudomonadati; Pseudomonadota; Gammaproteobacteria; Oceanospirillales; Halomonadaceae. The record is from RNAcentral.